AAUGAACGUUGGCGGCGUGGAUUAGGCAUGCAAGUCGCGCGACAAGGAACCUUCGGGUUCUGGAGGAGCGGCAAACGGGGUAGUAAGGCAUCGGAACGUACCCUCUUGUUGGGAAUAGCCGCGGGAAACUGCGAGUAAUGCCCAAUAAUCCCUACGGGGCAAAGGUCCGCCGCAGGAGGAGCGGCCGAUGUGAUACCAGCUAGUUGGUGAGGUAAUGGCUCACCAAGGCUUAGACGUCUAGGGGGUGUGAGAGCAUGGCCCCCACCACUGGGACGUGAGAUACUGCCCACGACACCUACGGGUGGGCUGCAGUCGAGAAUCUUCGGCGAAUAGGGCGGCAAGACCUCGACCGACGCAACGACCGCCGU
RNAcentral lists this ribosomal RNA (368 nucleotides) under uncultured bacterium. RNAcentral describes it as "bacterial SSU rRNA". It matches the Rfam family "Bacterial small subunit ribosomal RNA", at positions 29 to 403 of the family's 1533-position model. The record is from RNAcentral.